UACGUAGGGUGCAAGCGUUGUCCGGAAUUAUUGGGCGUAACGAGCUCGUAGGCGGUCUGUCACGUCGGAUGUGAAAACUCGGGGCUCAACCCCGAGCCUGCAUACGAUACGGGCAGACUUGAGUUCGGCAGGGGAGACUGGAAUUCCUGGUGUAGCGGUGAAAUGCGCAGAUAUCAGGAAGAACACCCGUGGCUAAGGCGGUUCUCUAGUACGGUACUGACGCUGAGACGCGAAAGCGUGGGGAGCGAACAGG
This 253-nucleotide ribosomal RNA is filed under the name uncultured bacterium. RNAcentral describes it as "partial 16S ribosomal RNA". It matches the Rfam family "Bacterial small subunit ribosomal RNA", at positions 524 to 776 of the family's 1533-position model. The record is from RNAcentral.